This 73-nucleotide transfer RNA is filed under the name Nelumbo nucifera (sacred lotus). It matches the Rfam family "tRNA". From Rfam's summary of the family: Transfer RNA (tRNA) molecules are approximately 80 nucleotides in length. Lineage: Eukaryota; Viridiplantae; Streptophyta; Magnoliopsida; Proteales; Nelumbonaceae. The record is from Rfam by way of RNAcentral.
GGGGAUGUACCUUAAACGGUAGAGUACUCGCUUUUCAUGCGAGAGGUAUGGAGUUCAAUACCCUGCAUCUCUA